This 725-nucleotide ribosomal RNA is filed under the name uncultured bacterium. RNAcentral's name for it is "bacterial SSU rRNA". It matches the Rfam family "Bacterial small subunit ribosomal RNA", at positions 771 to 1501 of the family's 1533-position model. The record is from RNAcentral.
AACAGGAUUAGAUACCCUGGUAGUCCACGCCCUAAACGAUGUCUACUAGUUGUCGGGUUUUAAUUAACUUGGUAACGCAGCUAACGCGUGAAGUAGACCGCCUGGGGAGUACGGUCGCAAGAUUAAAACUCAAAGGAAUUGACGGGGACCCGCACAAGCGGUGGAUGAUGUGGAUUAAUUCGAUGCAACGCGAAAAACCUUACCUACCCUUGACAUGUACGGAAUCCUUGAGAGAUCAGGGAGUGCUCGAAAGAGAGCCGUAACACAGGUGCUGCAUGGCUGUCGUCAGCUCGUGUCGUGAGAUGUUGGGUUAAGUCCCGCAACGAGCGCAACCCUUGUCAUUAGUUGCUACGAAAGGGCACUCUAAUGAGACUGCCGGUGACAAACCGGAGGAAGGUGGGGAUGACGUCAAGUCCUCAUGGCCCUUAUGGGUAGGGCUUCACACGUCAUACAAUGGUACAUACAGAGGGCCGCCAACCCGCGAGGGGGAGCUAAUCCCAGAAAGUGUAUCGUAGUCCGGAUCGCAGUCUGCAACUCGACUGCGUGAAGUUGGAAUCGCUAGUAAUCGCGGAUCAGCAUGUCGCGGUGAAUACGUUCCCGGGUCUUGUACACACCGCCCGUCACACCAUGGGAGCGGGUUUUACCAGAAGUAGGUAGCUUAACCGUAAGGGGGGCGCUUACCACGGUAGGAUUCGUGACUGGGGUGAAGUCGUAACAAGGUAACC